AUGGCCAUAGCCGUGUAUAACAUCAGCCGUUACUACGGUGCACCCGUGGAGAACACCAGGAUUGAUUUCCAAAAGUUAUAUUUGCGCCGAAUCUUUAAUGGAGAGAACUCCAACCAGGCACAGAUAAUAGAUGGGCAUGCUCAUACUGCUAGCCCAUUUGCCACGACUAGUGUCAACAACUGGGCAAUAUAUGAUGGCACUGGCGCGGGAGCAAGUAUAGUUGCCCGUGCAAAAGGCAUCCACGUGGAUGUUGAUAACUGGUACAUCUCAUUCGUCAUGGUGUUCGACACUAAAAGGUUCAUGUUCAGGGUCGGGCAGUUCAUGAUUCCGUCAACGCUUGCGAUAACGGGAACAUCCAUGGCGGAACCAGGGGAGUGGGCUAUUGUUGGCGGGACCGGCUACUUUGCAAUGGCGAGUGGUGUUAUCAAGAAAAUCGUGUACGUGAAUCCAUUCAGUUUUAAGAACGAUUGCGAACAAGUACAAGAGCUUACAAUCGAGGCAUUUUGCCGCACUCAACCUCAGCCCGCUGCACGGAUUGAACCACCACAUGGUAGUGAAAAUGCAGGAAUCGUUCGUGACAUUACAGAGCUGCCUCAGUACCUAGAAAGUGUGACAAUUACCACUGGAGGGGUAAUUGAUGCAUUCACAUUUUCCUACAUUGACCAAGCUGGGGGCAGACAAACCGUAGGUCCUUGGGGCGCUGGUGGACCAACUGACGCGGUCACUACAACAAUUCGGAUGCGCCCUUCAGAGUUUGUGAGGGCAAUACAUGGAACAUGGGGCAAAAUUGAUCCUAAAAUAAGUGAAGUCAUUGUUAUAACAUCACUUACAAUUGUCACCAACCUCCAAACAUAUGGACCUAUUGGAGAUCCCAACUAUAUGGGUAAGGAGAACAACACAGCUUUCAGCAUUGAAGUGCCACCAAACAGGGGCAUUAUGGGUUUCUAUGGACGUUCGGAACGGUAUCUCAAUGCGAUCGGCGUCUAUGCAAUGGAUCUUGGUCUCGUACAGUGA
RNAcentral lists this ribosomal RNA (1014 nucleotides) under Triticum aestivum (bread wheat). RNAcentral describes it as "partial small subunit ribosomal RNA". The record is from RNAcentral. Lineage: Eukaryota; Viridiplantae; Streptophyta; Magnoliopsida; Poales; Poaceae.